This 301-nucleotide ribosomal RNA is filed under the name uncultured bacterium. RNAcentral's name for it is "partial 16S ribosomal RNA". It matches the Rfam family "Bacterial small subunit ribosomal RNA", at positions 509 to 807 of the family's 1533-position model. The record is from RNAcentral.
CAGCCGCCGCGGUAAUACGGAGGGAGCUAGCGUUGUUCGGAACUACUGGGCGUAAAGCGCACGUAGGCGGCUUUGUAAGUUAGAGGUGAAAGCCUGGAGCUCAACUCCAGAACUGCCUUUAAGACUGCAUCGCUUGAAUCCAGGAGAGGUGAGUGGAAUUCCGAGUGUAGAGGUGAAAUUCGUAGAUAUUCGGAAGAACACCAGUGGCGAAGGCGGCUCACUGGACUGGUAUUGACGCUGAGGUGCGAAAGCGUGGGGAGCAAACAGGAUUAGAUACCCGGGUAGUCCCUGUCUCUUAUAC